Molecule: ribosomal RNA, 255 nt
Filed under: uncultured bacterium
Lineage: Bacteria
Description: partial 16S ribosomal RNA
Rfam family: Bacterial small subunit ribosomal RNA
Source: RNAcentral
CACGUAGGGUGCGAGCGUUGUCCGGAAUUAUUGGGCGUAAAGAGCUCGUAGGCGGUGUGUCGCGUCGGCCGUGAAAAACCUGCAGCUUAACUGUGGGCUUGCGGUCGAUACGGGCAUCACUGGAGUUCGGCAGGGGAGACUGGAAUUCCUGGUGUAGCGGUGAAAUGCGCAGAUAUCAGGAGGAACACCGGUGGCGAAGGCGGGUCUCUGGGCCGAUACUGACGCUGAGGAGCGAAAGCGUGGGGAGCGAACAGG